RNAcentral lists this ribosomal RNA (465 nucleotides) under uncultured microorganism. Its description in RNAcentral is "bacterial SSU rRNA". It matches the Rfam family "Bacterial small subunit ribosomal RNA", at positions 9 to 521 of the family's 1533-position model. The record is from RNAcentral.
GAGUUUGAUCCUGGCUCAGAACGAACGCUGGCGGCAUGCCUAACACAUGCAAGUCGAACGAACUCUUCGGAGUUAGUGGCGCACGGGUGCGUAACGCGUGGGAAUCUGCCCUUGGGUACGGAAUAACUCAGAGAAAUUUGUGCUAAUACCGUAUAAUGACUUCGGUCCAAAGAUUUAUCGCCCAAGGAUGAGCCCGCGUAAGAUUAGCUAGUUGGUGGGUAAAGGCCUACCAAGGCUACGAUCUUUAGCUGGUCUGAGAGGAUGAUCAGCCACACUGGGACUGAGACACGGCCCAGACUCCUACGGGAGGCAGCAGUGGGGAAUAUUGGACAAUGGGCGAAAGCCUGAUCCAGCAAUGCCGCGUGAGUGAUGAAGGCCUUAGGGUUGUAAAGCUCUUUUACCCGGGAUGAUAAUGACAGUACCGGGAGAAUAAGCUCCGGCUAACUCCGUGCCAGCCGCCGCCGU